RNAcentral lists this long non-coding RNA (6325 nucleotides) under Arabidopsis lyrata. RNAcentral describes it as "long non-coding RNA (ALYR_LNC003054)". Lineage: Eukaryota; Viridiplantae; Streptophyta; Magnoliopsida; Brassicales; Brassicaceae. The record is from RNAcentral.
UGGUCAAAUUCUUUUUUUAUAAUUUAUAAUUUAAAUAAAUAAUUUAUUUAUUAUAAAUUGAUUAAAAUAAUAUUUUUGAUACACCCACACAGUGUCACAUAAACUCCCCUCUGAUCGCGGAAGCUGUGGCGGCCCUUCUCGCGUUGCAACACGCCCGAAACCUUGGUUUCACAUAGCUCUCUCUUGCUUCUGACUCGUCUCAACUCGUCAAAGCACUUCAAUCGGAGCUUCAAGUAAAGGAACUCCACGGGAUUCAAUUCGACAUCCUUGAUCUAUGUUUAAGUUUCUCUGCAAUUUCUUUUCGCUUUAUCCCACGAUCUCAAAACACUGUAGCGGAUUCGUUGGCCAAGGAGGCCUUACUCUCCUUUGUACUGGGCCUGGCCCAACUCUAGUUUUCAAUUGAAUCAUCCAUCCUUUGCACAAAAAAAAAAAUUUGUAAGCGUUAUGAUUGCAUUGGAGAGGUUUACUUGUCCGUUCAUUUUUUGAAUUCAAAUAAUGGGAGUUCAAACACUUAGAAAUAUCAGCAUUACUAUAUAUAUACUACUAGUAUUCAUUUGUUUAACAUAUAUGGAUGGUCGAUUAUUUUUUUGUUAAUCAACGCCGAAGGGUAAAGAGCUCAUGUUUUUUUCGUGAUGUAGCCUAAAGAUUAAUAUAAGUUUAUUGCAAAAAAAAAUAAUGAAAAAUCACUUCUAUUAAUUUUGUUAACAUGCAAGGUCAAAUUACUUUUCACUCUCUAUCUCAUUUCUCGUCAUGCAUAUAUGUUCGCAAGAAUCUCCAAUGUUGAUAUAUUCACCUAUCUCAACUCAUAUUUACGUAAUGUAAUUUCUUGUAAUUUGCCAGUUCAUCUCUACUCGAAAAUGCCCAAUCCUAAUAACAUAGAGGUGUGCUGAAAAAUAAUGGGAGAAUUAGCCUCAUAAUAUUUUGCGUAAGAGUAACUUGGAAGACGUACAUUGACCAAGGUAUUAUGAUUUUUGUCAGUUAAUGGCACCCCAUUGGACCAACAAAUUAAGCAAUCCCCGCAUUCCUUUAAUUUAAUCGUAACAAUAUGUAUUAAACUAAAUAUACAUGCACAACAAUUAAUUUCAAAUACAUUAAAAAAACGCACAAGUCAUAACAAUGAUUAUUCGAGUUUAUUACUCCAUAUGCGACUAUGAACAUUUUAAUAAACUUCGACAUCAAAGAAGCUGAGACAUGCAUGCCGAAACAAGCAUUCCUCUUCUGACUUCUCUCGUCCACAAUUUUUUUUUAUUUUUUGAAUACUAAGGUGUUAAAUUAUUAUAUCUAAUUAAUUAUAGCAAAUAAUUGAAGGUAUAGGUCGAGGUUUUCAUUAAAGAAACAAUAGGCUCUCUAAUUCUAUAGAUCAAUUAUUGACCACUCGAGGAUUUACAUUAUAUUUCAUGCAUGUAUAUUUGUUAGAAGUAAACUGUUUUUUCUUGUUUUCAUUUCUAGUAAGAAAUUCUUAGUCCUAGUUUUAUUUUUGUCUUAAAAGCUUACUUGAAUAGUUAAAAAGUUCAAUACUUAUCAAAAAAAUAUUUAUACUAAUAUUACACAAAAAAAAAUAUGUAAAAAUAUAUAGUUAAAAGUUCAAACUAAAAAUAGAUGCUUUGAGAUAUUUGAGUGCACAUUACUUUAAAUUUGAUGGGAAAUCUGUAAACCAGUAAUUCUCUAUCUGCAGGAUAAUUAAUUUGUGUGUGGAGUGGUUAGAUUUCGAAGUCAACAGUUUAGUCAAAGUGCUGUCAGAAAAAUUACAUGCGGGGGCUGUAAGAAAUAAUACAUUUACAUGGAUUACAAAAACAGUUUUUAAGAAGAAAAAAAAGUGGUUUACCAAAAAAAAAAAGUGACGCUUUCAAAUUAUUUAAAAUAGAAAAGUGUUUUAUGGGUUUAUACUUUAUAGAAUAUUACACACAUUAAGAUCUAAUAUUGUUGCAUCUAAUAAUAUUUAUACUUCAGAGAUUUCAAAAUGUAGUGUUAUUUAAUCAAUAUUUUAAAUAUUUCAUAAAAUCUAGUAUUGUUCAAAAGUAUAACAUUUAAUUAAUAUUUUGAUACAUAAAUCUAUCUUUACUAUACUAUAAAUCUAGUAGAUUAGUCCAACAUCCUUAUUAAACCACCUCUCAAUGAAAAAUUAAAAUAGACCAAAAAAUUACAUCAGAAAUAUUAAAUGAUGAAUAAUAUAAGCAACUUCUUAAUGAUACACAACACCAAUCCUAGUUUUUCUAAUUUUUGUAACUUUUUUUUUUAUUUGUUUCUACCAAACUUAUCCAAAUAUAAAUUGAUAGAAACUAACAGAUAACUAAACAAUGCCACAAAAAUCUUUAUCAACCAUUGGAUUACUAGGGUGUUGGAUUUAUAUAUUUAUUGGUUAUUUAUGUAUUAGAAAAUGCAAAGCAACAUUCAAUUGUAAGUUUGUAACAUGCAUCUAACACCAAUAUCUUUUACUAAACUUUUGUAAUCCCUUAAACACUUUAAAAUGCUAAUUCAAAUUAAAAAUACAUUACACGUGAUACAUAGUUUUAAAAACAGUAGACUUAUAGCUCAUUUUCGUAACGCAUAUAUAUAUUAAAAUUUACCAAAAUUUACCAUUUCGAGUAAGAGAAUCUUUUUAAAAAUAAUUUUCAAUUUCAUUAAUUAAGAAACAAUGAAUUUAAUGAAAUGUAUAUUUUAUUAAAUUCCCAUAAAGUAUAUAUAAUUAAAAUAAUGCCACGUAAAUCUUUCUCCGCCGUUCGAUAAUCAAAUACUUUCUUGAUUAAAAAUGUAUUCAGAAAAUGUUAAACCAACAUUUAUCUAUAAACAAAGAGAGCCUCAUAUGUGUAAAAAUCUUCUUCUUAUCUUUCUUUCUUUCUUAAUAGAGUCUUUAAUUUUUACUCAAUUAGCUUUGGUAAUUUGUGAAAAAAACAACCAAUGAGAGAAGAGCAGUUUGACUGGCCACAUAGCCAAUGAAAUUAGCCAAUGGGAAAGAGAUAUAGAGACCUCGUAAGAACCGCCUCCUUUGCCAUUUGUAUCAUCUCUCUAUAAAACCACUCAACCAUCAACCUUUCUUUACAUGCAACAAAUCACUCAAAUAAUUAUUUUAUAAAGAACAAAAAAAAAAAGACGGCAGGGAAACAAUGGAACGUGGAGCUUCCUUCUCUCACUAUCAGCUACCCAAAUCCAUCUCUGUUAAUCUAAGUGGCUAUUUAUAUACUUGCCUCCAUGUAUAUUUAUAUGCUCAUGAAAAAUUGGAGACUUGCUUUUUGAUUUUUAUGAGUCUUUUCAACAAAGAAGUAGAGGCUUUCUUUCUCGAAAAUUAAUUUUAGAAUUUGUGAAGGUUUUGGGAAUGGCUCUGAAAAGACGAUUUUAUACAUGCAUGCAAGAGUUUGAUAUGUGUAUUGUCUCAUCAUGACUGAGUCAAAGUUUGAUUCAAAUAUUUCCAUGGUGUGGUAGAAAUUAAACAAAUCUUUCAUAUGUGUUCAUUGAAUAUUCCCGUGCAUGCACGAGGAAUGUUUUUGAGUAUCAAUUUUUUUGUUUUAUUUUUUUUUGUUUUUCGAUUCUAAAAACGUAGGGGAGGGGAUUUUAUUGGUUUUCUCUAUGAGUUUUCUCGUUGUAACGGUUGAGUUUUUUUUUUUUCCGUUUCAAAAUGAGAUUCUCGUUUCUCUGCCUUUAUCUAAAAGCAUCUACAGUAAAUUAAAAGACACUAAAAAACAAAAAAUUAAAAGACACUGAAAUUUUUUUAUACUUAAUAAACAUUUAAGUAUAUAUAAACAGUCUUACUAGUCCCAAGUUUUACAAUUCAAAAUUUAUUAGUAAUUGUUUUUUGGAAAAAAUCUAAGUGAAUUUUUGUCCAAAAUUUUCCUUUUACUGUGUUUAUUCUAGUGGGUGUCAUUAACUUUAAUCUUGUGAUUCUUUUAACGUUUACCAUUGGGAACCUUCACAUGAAAUAAAUGUCUACUUUAUCGAGUCAUACCUUCUUCUCCGUAAAUUAAUUGAUGUUCUUCUUCAAAAUUUGAGUUUCUGUUUUUUGUAAUAAACUAAACGAAAGAAUUUGGGAAUACGUGUUUAUACAAUUAUACUUUUAAAGUUAUAUUUAUGUCAAAAUUUAAGUAUUUCGAGAAGAGGAAAGAUCCUUUUGACAUUUUUGUUCUAUAGUUAUUACUUAUUAGAAACGUAACGGCAAGAAUCUGAACAGUACCUACUCAACGGGGUCCAUAAGUCUAGUCAACAAAUGUAGUUGACUAUGUCCAGGCCAAAAACGUACGGUUAUUAUUAACCAUAGUUAAUAGUUAAAAGUUAACCAUGGUUCGGUUAACAUUAAACCCUUUUUCCUCUUUUAACAAACCCCAAAACCUUUCUUCAGAUUUUCUCUCUGCUUUUCACAAUCGUCGUCUCAAUUUUUUCCUGCAAAAUUCCGAUCGCCAUGGAUGAUGGAGCUGUUGAGAUACGUGAAGAGCAACGUCGAUUGAUCGUGGCCCAGCAGCAACCACCAUGUAUGGCUCGUGAACAAGACCAGUACAUGCCAAUCGCAAACGUCAUAAGAAUCAUGCGUAAAAUCUUACCGUCGCACGCUAAAAUCUCUGACGACGCCAAAGAAACGAUUCAAGAAUGUGUCUCCGAGUACAUAAGCUUCGUGACCGGUGAAGCCAACGAGCGUUGCCAACGUGAGCAACGUAAGACCAUAACUGCUGAAGAUAUCCUUUGGGCUAUGAGCAAGCUUGGGUUCGAUAACUACGUGGAUCCCCUCACCGUGUUUAUUAACCGGUACCGUGAGAUAGAGACCGAUCGUGGGUCGGCACUUAGAGGUGAGCCACCGUCGUUGAGACAGGCCUAUGGAGGAAAUGGUAUUGGGUUUCACGGCCCACCACAUGGCCCAUCUCAUGGCCUACCUCCUCCUGGUCCUUAUGGUUAUGGUAUGUUGGACCAAUCCAUGGUUAUGGGAGAUGGUCGGUUCUACCAAAACGGGUCGUCGGGUCAGGACGAAUCAAGUGCUGGUGGUGGCUAUUCGUCUUCCAUUAACGGAAUGCCGGCGUAUGACCAAUAUGGUCAGUAUAAGUGAAGAUGGAAUUAUUCUUCAUUUUUAUGUAUAUCGAUUCAAAACAUGUGUUUGAAUAGAUAUUUUAUCUUUGUAUUAUCAAUAACAUUUCUAUAUAUAAUGUUGCUCCUUUUAAGGAAAAGUGUUGAGUUUCAAUACUUUUCGAGAACUGAUUUAUAUAUGCAAAUGAAAAAGUGUUUUUGGAUGAAACUCUAUGCAAUAUUACAUGAUCUAAAGGUUUUUGUAAUUUUAAAGCUGCUAUAGUUAGAAGAUAACUAAACAUUAUAGGAACCAAGUUUGCUUUUUUUUAUAUAGUUAGAAGAUUUAUAUAUGCAAACAAAAAGGGUUAUAAAAUCAAAAUUCAAAAUGAAGCAAGUGGUCCAAAUGCAUUGACCACAUAAACACUUUAAUAACCAAAAUAUAGGAUUUUUGUAAGACUCUCAAGUCUGACGCACAACAGUUUAUGUUAUUUAUAGAGUUGACUGUACCAUUAAAGAUUUCAAAAAAAUUAGAUCUUUAUUAGGUUCAUUUGUUGUUACACUCCUCCUUCUAUAUAAUAAUAACCUCCACUCCUCUCUAUGAGCAGCAAUGUGAAAGAUAUGGCCCAAGUGAAGUCAAACCCAACAAAUGAGCCUAGUCAACAACCACAACACAAAAAGACAAAGACCAGAAAAGUUUCACCGGCUGAGAGUAUCUCCAACAGUAAUGUCUUGAGGAAUAUCUUAAGAUUAAAAAAAUAAAAAAUAAUAAAAAAGUAGGAGAGAGUGUAGACACAGUUUCUGGUUUGAGAAACUUUGAGAAACUGUGUCUCCACUUGUCAUUUUAUUAUUGGUCAAAUUCUUUUUUUAUAAUUUAUAAUUUAAAUAAAUAAUUUAUUUAUUAUAAAUUGAUUAAAAUAAUAUUUUUGAUACACCCACACAGUGUCACAUAAACUCCCCUCUGAUCGCGGAAGCUGUGGCGGCCCUUCUCGCGUUGCAACACGCCCGAAACCUUGGUUUCACAUAGCUCUCUCUUGCUUCUGACUCGUCUCAACUCGUCAAAGCACUUCAAUCGGAGCUUCAAGUAAAGGAACUCCACGGGAUUCAAUUCGACAUCCUUGAUCUAUGUUUAAGUUUCUCUGCAAUUUCUUUUCGCUUUAUCCCACGAUCUCAAAACACUGUAGCGGAUUCGUUGGCCAAGGAGGCCUUACUCUCCUUUGUACUGGGCCUGGCCCAACUCUAGUUUUCAAUUGAAUCAUCCAUCCUUUGCACAAAAAAAAAAAUUUGUAAGCGUUAUGAUUGCAUUGGAGAGGUUUACUUGUCCGUUCAUUUUUUGAAUUCAAAU